RNAcentral lists this ribosomal RNA (422 nucleotides) under uncultured bacterium. Its description in RNAcentral is "bacterial SSU rRNA". It matches the Rfam family "Bacterial small subunit ribosomal RNA", at positions 355 to 774 of the family's 1533-position model. The record is from RNAcentral.
UGAGGAAUAUUGGUCAAUGGACGCAAGUCUGAACCAGCCAUGCCGCGUGAAGGAUGAAGGCCUUCUGGGUUGUAAACUUCUUUUAUGUGGGAAGAAACCUCUGAUUUCUAUUAGAGUUGACGGUACCAUAGGAAUAAGCACCGGCUAACUCCGUGCCAGCAGCCGCGGUAAUACGGAGGGUGCAAGCGUUAUCCGGAUUUACUGGGUUUAAAGGGUGCGUAGGUGGGUAUGUAAGUCAGUGGUGAAAUCCCCGAGCUUAACUUGGGAACUGCCAUUGAUACUAUAUAUCUUGAAUACCGUAGAGGUAAGCGGAAUAUGUCAUGUAGCGGUGAAAUGCUUAGAUAUGACAUGGAACACCAAUUGCGAAGGCAGCUUACUAUGCGGUGAUUGACACUGAGGCACGAAAGCGUGGGUAGCAAACA